AAGUCGACCGCCUGGGGAGUACGGCCGCAAGGUUAAAACUCAAAUGAAUUGACGGGGGCCCGCACAAGCGGUGGAGCAUGUGGUUUAAUUCGAUGCAACGCGAAGAACCUUACCUACUCUUGACAUCCAGAGAACUUAGCAGAGAUGCUUUGGUGCCUUCGGGAACUCUGAGACAGGUGCUGCAUGGCUGUCGUCAGCUCGUGUUGUGAAAUGUUGGGUUAAGUCCCGCAACGAGCGCAACCCUUAUCCUUUGUUGCCAGCGAUUCGGUCGGGAACUCAAAGGAGACUGCCAGUGAUAAACUGGAGGAAGGUGGGGAUGACGUCAAGUCAUCAUGGCCCUUACGAGUAGGGCUACACACGUGCUACAAUGGCAUAUACAAAGAGAAGCGACCUCGCGAGAGCAAGCGGACCUCAUAAAGUAUGUCGUAGUCCGGAUUGGAGUCUGCAACUCGACUCCAUGAAGUCGGAAUCGCUAGUAAUCGUAGAUCAGAAUGCUACGGUGAAUACGUUCCCGGGCCUUGUACACACCGCCCGUCACACCAUGGGAGUGGGUUGCAAAAGAAGUAGGUAGCUUAACCUUCGGGAGGGCGCUUACCACUUUGUGAUUCAUGACUGGGGUGAAGUC
This 625-nucleotide ribosomal RNA is filed under the name Klebsiella sp. idli_17. RNAcentral's name for it is "bacterial SSU rRNA". It matches the Rfam family "Bacterial small subunit ribosomal RNA", at positions 862 to 1487 of the family's 1533-position model. The record is from RNAcentral. Lineage: Bacteria; Pseudomonadati; Pseudomonadota; Gammaproteobacteria; Enterobacterales; Enterobacteriaceae.